CUCAGUUCGGAUCGGAGUCUGCAACCCGACUCCGUGAAGCUGGAUUCGCUAGUAAUCGCGAAUCAGAAUGUCGCGGUGAAUACGUUCCCGGGUCUUGUACACACCGCCCGUCACACCAUGGGAGAUGGAUAUGCCCGAAGUCAGUGACCUAACCGAAAGGGAGGAGCUGCCGAAGGCGGGACAGGUAACUGGGGUGAAGUCGUAACAAGGUAUC
This 214-nucleotide ribosomal RNA is filed under the name uncultured bacterium. Its description in RNAcentral is "partial 16S ribosomal RNA". It matches the Rfam family "Bacterial small subunit ribosomal RNA", at positions 1287 to 1500 of the family's 1533-position model. The record is from RNAcentral.